RNAcentral lists this long non-coding RNA (475 nucleotides) under Setaria italica (foxtail millet). RNAcentral describes it as "long non-coding RNA (SITA_LNC002402)". Lineage: Eukaryota; Viridiplantae; Streptophyta; Magnoliopsida; Poales; Poaceae. The record is from RNAcentral.
GUUUUAUUCUAGAGUAUCAUGAGACUCAUAAGAUACCCUAGGUCUUCGGGGCUUCCUCUUCGGUGGGUCCCUGCUGGGUUUCUGAAAACAACAACAAGGGAUCCCCUGAGUACGAAGUACUCAGCAAGUCUUACCCGACUAACCAAUAUAAUAGCUUUCUUUGGAAGUGUAUGCUUAGCUUUUUGGUGUACUUGGCUAAUGCAAUUUUUGCCGAAAAGCUUACUACAAGUGAUACCUUAGUUUUAUCUUUUAUUUGGGUUAAGUUAUUACCUAACCAUUCUAAAUGAUAGCAGAAGUAAAAACAACCACAGCUGUUAAGUCAUACAUUACUUGACAACAGGAGAUUUUAUAUUGCAUGAAUUGAUACUACGAUGCUCAACAGUGAUCAAGUGCAUUCAUAACCGAGAAUUGCGGCGAUCCGGAUCUAAUUACAUCCUGCAGGAGAGUACCCUGAUCACCAGCUAUAUACGACUGU